This is a long non-coding RNA of Acanthaster planci (crown-of-thorns starfish), 11105 nucleotides long. The record is from RefSeq and is a predicted model, not a curated record. NCBI's taxonomy places the organism in Eukaryota, Metazoa, Echinodermata, Asteroidea, Valvatida, Acanthasteridae.
CCGGGAGAGGACCUCCGAAAAUUUCCUCUCGUCUCGCGUGCACUUUUUUGUCUCAUUUGUGGAAAGUCAAUACAAUUUGCAAGGCCGUGGCCGAGCUCACCUCUGCUGUUUUAAUAAACCGCCUAAUAACUUCCAUCUCCAGAGUGAUGGAUGGACUCCGGGAUAAACUUUCUCCUGUCCAACGGCCUGACUGCAACUCGCUGUCCGCAUCAGCACAAAUUUCAUCCCAGUGAUGACCGCCCUGGAUGCGCGGAGGUGGGCUGGAUGUGUCGACACAAGAAAAUUUCAACUUCAAGUGCCUUCGUGACGUGUGGAGCGUCACCAGGUCGCAAGCUCUUUCUGUUUCAUAAUGUUUGGGGGAAAAUGAACUGAACUUGAAAAAAAUGAACAUUUGAACAUUUUCCUGCUUUGGCCAAACCAAUGUGAACUAGAACUCAAAAGGACAGAUAGGCCUAAUGUGUUUUAGAAUUACUGUGUGGACCUGUGUAAACUUUUGUGGAGUCAUGCUGCUCAAACUUCGCAAAAAAGGAGAAAAUUGGCUGAGGUAAGUCUUCGAAACUGAGGUGAGUAAACCAUCAUUUCCCUUACUUCAGAAAUGAAAUGUUAAUAAACGAAUGGAAGUGUGUUUGACAUCAAUCAUGUAGCCUAGGGCUUAAACACAAUGAUUACGGUUAGCCUGUGUCACUUUAUUUGACUCGACUGUGAAUGCUUAAAGCCUAGUACAUAUACACAUUUGAAUAAAAACACCGUAGUAAUGGUUAAAUUCUACUUUUAAACUGGAAGGAAUGAUAGGGUUUGGGGGUAGCCAUUUCAUCCUUACUAAUACUUAGCGAAGAAGAAAUCGCAUGUUGUCCGUUUCACUGAAUGCGUCUCAACGUUUUUUCCCCGGCCCUGUUAAUUUGCAUGAGAAUGAGUAUGGCACGUGUGACAUUAUGUUCUCGCGUGCCAAUAAAACAGUGAGCGUGGCUUUGGGUUCCGUUAAUCCCAUCAUUGUCUGAAAACUUGCUGCAUGAAAGGCAUUAGAAUGCGGUUACUUGCCCAGGUGUUGGUGUCUGAUUGCUGACUUAUUGCAAAUCUUCCGGGCUGCAAAAGACCGCAAGUCUGACAGAGUUUGUAAACAUGUUCGCCACCACAGAGAACUCCUUUACGUAAGCAAUAUAAUCAUUUAUUAUAAUUGGAAUUAUGAUUUUCCUCCAGCUGCGAUUAUUGUAAAUUACAUGCAGACUGAACUCUUUGGAAAUUUCCAGAUUUUAUCUAGUUAUCUUGGUCUAAGUUGUAGAUUUUUUAACGUACUUACUGCGGUGGUAUUCCAGAGGAAAUUUUAAAAAUACUUGUAAUAGUUGUUUGAUUGUUGCCAUUACAAAUGCCACACAACUUUACACCAGUAAUUUCAGGUAACAGAUCUUUACGUUAGCUAAAUGGAUCAAUGCUUGGUGCUAACAAGGCCGGAAUUACCUUUGAACAUAAUCAGAUUAGGGCGAUGGGGCAAUGUGCUAUAAUAACCCCAAAUAUUACUGAAAGUUUACGUGUGACGGUGGUGUGCAUCGUCGCAAGAUUCUUCAACCACGAUUUCUGCAAAACGCUGAUGGGAUAAAUAACAAUAAGAUGAAUAUCAUGGACACUUUUGUGGCCUUUCAAGUGAAUAUGAAUAUAUUUUAAGUGAACACAAUUAGAAAUCACAGAUUCGGUAUAAUGUCAAAUACAAUAUUGCAACUUGGGUUAAGUGUUUUGGGGGUAGGUAGGGAUGCAAAUGCAGGAGCGGCAGCCGCAGCGUGAAACAGCGAGUUACUGUGUGUGUUUUUGUAACCAUCAGUGUGAGUCCGUGUGGUAGGCUAGGCUUAGUUAGGCCCAACUCGGAGUUCGUUAGAAAUCUGCCUGCGUUUUAUCCUCGCCGAACUCGCAAAUCUGAGGUCUGGUAUGAAUGUCAAAGCGGGUCGGGUCAAGUAAAAUCCAAGGUUAGUGAAGAAGAUUCAAGGUAAUGGGCGAAUCGUCUGCGGUCAAAAGGUCGGACAAAAUGUCCCUACGUAGCUAUCAUGUAUACUCGCGCGAGGAAUGGUAAUCAUAGUAUACCUUGGUAUUAGUGUAGGGAACAAAGUUGAGAAUGUGAGUGAGAAGGAAUACGUGAAGGUGAAAUCAGUGAGCAAAAGCAGCUGGCUGCAAGCACGCGCACACCUUGCGCGCUCAAGCAGCGCCACUUCAAUGGGUCGGAGGGUCUAAAAGAUUUCGUUGGGCAGAUUUUAACCUGUCGCCUCUCCAAACAUGCAUCUUUCACAAACAGUGAUCAGGUUGCGUUCAUUUUAAUUUAAGAUAUAUUUCUAUGAUUCAGACGGACUCUAACAAUCAUGAAGGGGAAAUAUUAACCAAGGUUUCAACAUUACAUUUCAGUUAGUAUAAUGGAAAAUGCUUUAGUCAAGAGAAAGAAGCCUCAUGACAUAGCACACUUAGGUACUAAAAGUUUUGUAGACAGUGAACGCGUAAAUUUGCAAUGGUGGAAUCAAUGAUCAUAAUGUGUGAAGUCAAUGCUAUGUGCAGUGACGAAGGGUUAUUCUAUAUAUACAUGAAUGAAAGUACUAGUGUAAAGUUUUCUCGGUUCUGAAAUGUAUCCCAAUCAUUUGAAUCCAGUUUUCUCACUUGUUAUAGUAAUUAUUACUGGAUGAUUCUCAAAAAAUACAAACAUAUCCACUGGAAUACCACCCGCUGUUGGCCAAGUAGACUGAAAUUUAAAUUAUUGCUGACUGACGAAAGCAAGUUACAGCUUAUUCCAUUAUAACUGUAUAAGAAAGGCACUUGAAGUCGAAUGCUACCGGUACAUACUCGAUCAUAAAUGAUUAUCAGUUGAAUGACAGGAUUCUCCAAGGAACAAGGAAAUUUGAACAGACUAUACGAUUUAAGUGGCAGGCUCACUUCUACACUAUCUGGAAAAAAUAUUAUUGUGUAAAAAUUAACCACAGCGAAAGUGACUCUAAGACACUGUUACUGGCAGUCUCUGGCCAACGAGCUUUGUUAUAUCCUUGAAAGAAAUUACAGCCCGAAAGAGGAACAGCUUUAAAUUGGAUAAAAUUACCGACAAUGCCUGGAGUUUUGUUCGAAAUCUUUAUGACGUCCCGCGCAAUCAGCUAGAAAACAUUACAAAAGUUAAGUUCGUUAUAGUUGUUUAACUUGUUCAACAGCUUCUUUAACAUUAGAUUGUUUGCUCUAUGCAUGAAAUUACAACUGUAAAUAGGAGAGCCUUCAGGAACAUUUGUGGCAAUGCCUGGAGCGUUGCCGACUUUCUUCGAAAAGCAGACACAUUUAUUUCAUUAUAACUGUAUAAAAUCCUCAUCAGUAUCGAUUAUAUUAAGCAAUGAAGCUCAUUAUUGCAGACAAUGGCCGGUACUUUGUCUGUCACACCGACUAUGAUAGGUCGUAAGAUCUCACUAGAGAAGACAGUGUUAAUGUGAACAACGAAGAGUAAAUUUCAGCUUCAGAAAGUGAUAGUGCUUGGCUCGUUGCCACUGAGUCUCUUGAUCAAGCUUGGUGAUAUUUCUAAGAGGCCCCUUCCUGCUGAAAACGGAGGCAACACUUUUAACAUUUAUAUUAGUUUCUUUAAUCGAACAUUAAUUAUUAAACACGUCAACACCUUAUUUUAGAUAUAUUAAAGGAGUUCUCUGUAGACGUACUGGAGCAAAAGAAGCAGAGAAAAAUCUCUCGACGAAAUAAUGAUUAAAAUCUGGGAUUAGCGCCGCCUGUACAAGCACCGCAAAUAAUUCAAACCAAUUAACGAAAUAAUGAAAUCUACAUGGAAUAGAUUCAGAUUCACUAAUAUAUUUGAACGAUUAACAUCAUGUUUACCAGCAGCGAGUAUGGUGACAAUAGCCAAAAUGAUAAACUUUGUUCAUUAUAACUGUAUAAAUGGUUUCAAAAUCGAUGGCUUAAGGUUGAUGUAGGCCCAUAAUAUCCCCAUUGUUUAAAAAACCUGUUACAAGUCAUCAAGGAAUAACUUUUUAAGGUAGAUACCACUUGCAACGUCUGGUGCGUUGUCCAGUUUCUACAGAAAAAAAAACACAAUUUGUUUUAAUCGCCAUCAACGAGUAUUGUGAAGUUAUAAUUGUAUAAGAUGUUAACAUCUGAAUCACCACCUGUACUGCAAUUCUGUUCAUAAUCUGCAAUAGAUGUCAGUUUUCGGUUUUCCAAGUAAUAUUUUUCUCGUGUUUUAUUCACCAUGACCAAUCAUUAAGUUGGUUACAAUUGUAUAAGCUUUCAAUAUCUAAGCCACCAGCGGUAUUGUAAUUCGGUAAAAAAAACUGUAUUGGAGUCGGAGACAGGGCCUGGUUUGUGAUCCAGUUUCCAUAGAAGAUCUUGUUUUAUUCACAAUGAUCAAUGUAAGUUAGUCACAAUUUUGUAAACUUUAAUUCAUUAAUAUCAGCACCAUCAACUUCCAUAUAGUCAGUCUAUACAAAUCUAUUACGAGCGUAAGUGACAAUACUUGGUCUUGCACGUUGUCCGGUUCAUGUACAUGUAUUCCCUGAAACUGUAGGCCUACUGCUUUACAACAGAUUACAUCCUGUGUGUUCACUUGAAUAUAAUUUAAGAUUUUAACACGAAUUUGUAUAGAUUUUGUAGGGAAGUGAAGUUUGUCAGUGUAACGGUAAAAAGAAAAAGGUAAACUAUUUCAUGUCAUGAAAUAUUUGGUGUGGAAUAUUGAAAAGAUUAACGCUAAAUUGUAAAUAUUUCUUGAAGUGCAUUUUCACUUGUUACCACUCUGUGGUCCUGAUUGUGUGGCGUUACUAUUUCAACCCUUGUUCCCGAAGACUUCCAUGACUGAAACAGGAAAAAUAACUAGUACGGCGCCGACAGAAGUAAUUCUUGAAAAUGAGGUUACCUUUUUUCCAAUCCGCAACAGGAGAACGGAAACGACAAAAAUGACAGAAAAACAAACCACCUCGACCGUUACUCUCGCAUAAAAUCAUUUCUGACGUCGGAAUUACUUUUCGCGAACGUUCAUACUCGGUCACAAUAACGACGAAAAUUAUGAAAGGAUUACGUACCGAAAAGUGACAAAAGUCGCUGCAAAAAACUAACGAAAAAUUGAAGCGAUAACGAGUCUCUGAAAAAUUGGUGGUAACACCAAGAAAAAUUAAACAAAAUCAAAUGGGAGUAUCGAAGUAUAUGGUGAAAAUCAUUGCGAUGAUAUUGAAAGGAAUAGACUUUGAAAUCAGCGUUCUUUUCCGAGAACUUGAACACAUCUAUGAAACCUUCGACCAGAAUAUAUAAAAACCGGUUAUUACUGCCAAAAUAAAAUUAUACAAUCAGUGAUGAUGAAAGAAGUAACUCUUGAAAUCAGAAUUCCUUUUUUUCUCAGAACUGCGACACCACGGAAAAAAGACAAAAUCAAAAACGACGAUUAUUGCCUGGAAAAUCCACGAAAACAUACGAAAAUUGCAUCCGAGUUCAAAUAAGCGACCUUCGCGAUCUCCAAAACAUACGGUGACGAAAGUGAACAUUAUUUGAACGUUUCAAAGCGACGGGUAAAUAACGAAAAUUUCGUCAAAACUAAAAUCGCUAAAAAUCACGGCUUCGGUAUUGAAUUUAAUUUCAGAAAUCAGCGUUCGAAUUCUGAAACAUCUUCAAAAAUCGAUAGCAAAAAUUACGAAAAAAAAUGAAACACGAAGAUAAUGAGUACAGAUGCGAAUUUUCAAACCGCGUAAAACGACGUAAACGACGAAAAUUAUCGGGUAGCGCGAAAAAAGAUAACUUUGUUAAAAUAAAAAAUGAAAGCAGCAAUGAGUCUUCAAAAUUCGAUGACAAAAAUAAUCGACCGAAUUUAAACAGAAAUUGUAAAAUAGCUAUCAUAUGACAGUGGUGAAAGAAGUAAUUCUCGACAACAGACUUACAUUUUCUCUUGAUGUUUUUUCCCAGUAGACUAUCAUUUCAGUUUUAAAGUCAAAAGACAGUUAAUGUCAUCCUUACUUAUUACACAGUGGAAAGAUCUCCAACUAAAUCUGCAUUACCUUAAAAAGACGAAGUCAGUCUGUAAACUGUCUCGCAAGUAAACUUCUGUGUUAGUGCCAUCCGAGUAACAUCGGUAUAUAGGCGGAUGGCUUAAGCGCUGGUAAUUGUGACAUUUGUCAGAUUAUUGUAGCCAGUAAGUGUUCAUCUUCCUCGACUGUGAACAUAAGACCGAUCUUGGAAAGAUUGGCUGGACAUGUACAUUGUAUCACUUUCGAAGUUACAUCUUUGAAAGUAUCAGGUGCUAACUACUAGGCCUAUACUGUGAGAAACCUUAGGUCGGAGGCAAAAUCUGUAAGGGUGAACGAUCUUCUUAAUUUUGCCUGACGCGGUUGCAAUUUGUCUUGGUCGUUAGACCUUGGUUGAUAAUGUAAGUCCGAUUUUUAUACAUCGGCAUUGGCGAACAUUUUCUUUUGUAUCACUCUAUGUAAGUCUGACCGGUUAUCAGAUCGGCUUGGGCUAUUUUCAUCUUGUAAGGUAUUUAUACAACGUGAAGCUUUUUUUAACUGAACAGUGAGUCCGGUUGCAAAAUCGGCAACUUGUAAGUCCGAAAAGCUUCGGCGAAAGUGAAAAUUGGUUUAAUUUGUUGUUAUCGCAGCUAGAAGAUAAUCUUUGACAAAAUAAGUAGGUCCGGUGGCAAAGACCGGCAUUUUGCAAUCUUCGUUUUAAGUCUGAUCUGUAAGAAUCAGCAUGGGAAGUGAUGGGAAUUUUUUCCCCGAGUGAUUAUGACUUUCGCCAGUAUUUUCUGUGCUCACGAAGCGUUAUAACACCCACCCUCUCCCAACAGGUUCCUUUUGGUUAAAGUAGACUAUUAUAACUCAAUUCUUCAAUGCUUUUAACCAGCAUGGCUGAUAGUCUCAUGCAGUCCUAGUUGAAUGGCCAUGUAAAGGUAUCUCGCUUUUCGAAUUGAUUACUCAUAAGUUAUCAAACAGUAUUCCCACUGGUAUUUGUGAGCUGAGAACAACGUUUGCUUUCCAUAAAGCCACUCUUCACAAGUCACAGGUAAGCCUUUCACUUGUAGCUUAUUUAAUGCUCUUGAAUAUUUCACGGAAAUAUGAUAUACCUAUAUGAUACGUAUAGAUAUUGUGAUAGACCUAGCUAGGGUAGGCCUAGGGCUUCUGUUCCCCUUGUGUCCUAGACCAAGAUGCACCGCUCCCACCAGUGAAGAAGAGAACCUACAAGCCCAAAUAAGACUGGAUGCAUGUCGACCCCCCCCCAUCAGGAUAAGGAUGGACUGCUUCUCAGACAGGAACCAUAAGCAGAGAGGAGGACCAACAGAUGACUGAUGACCCUGCUUGCUGAGGGUGUCAUCAAAGGACCUUAAAGUCGGGUUGCUGUACUCAGACAAGAAGAAUGGCUGUUCAUUAAGCAUGCAAUUACUCUUGGGGUAAGUGUAAUGAAAAAAAGCAGAUAGAUUAUUAAAAAAUGUUCUAAACUUGCUAAAUCGUACCCAUCGAAUUUGGAUUGCAUUGCUUGUUUCUGUAAUUCAAGAUUAUGUUGACUGUUUGUCUUGGAAGUUCUCAUGCAGUGAACCGUGAAAAAAAUGAGUUUCUCAAGUACUAAGGAAAACUGAGGUAGUGAAAACUGAGUUCUAAGGGAACAAGUAAUGAUACAAACCGUGGCAGACAUCUGGUAACAAUGUUGGGUGCUGGAAAAUGGAGAGAAGGAACACUAAUGAAAUUGCUUUGUGCACAGAAAUGACUUGAGAAAUAAAUCACAUUGCCUUGCAUUUUAUUGGAUAUUAUGCAGAAAGGGGCAACUAGAAACCUAUUUUAAGCUUUACGGUUUUUGGAACCCCACUAAUAUAACUUAGCUAGCCUAGGCCGAGAAGUUUUUUACCCUUCCACAGGAAUUGCACAUGGCCUGGAUUCAACAAGCCUAGAAGUCUCUGAAGCUCCUUCGCUGAACCGGCAACUGGAAGGUUGCUAUGCCUGUAUUACAAAUUCCUGAGAGAACAAGCCUGGAAGACCAAGACUGGCAAGAUGAAGAGGAGGCAAUUUCCUGUGAUGGAGGACAACAAGAUGACUGUGACAUUGAUAACCAAGGAACUGCAUGGAAGUAGGGAGGAGGACUAACAGGUGACUAGGAUGAGAAGGAUCAACAGGAUGAGGAUGACUCUGCUUUCUGAGCAUUCCACUACUUAUUCUUCCGAAGACAGGCCAGCUGUUUGACCUUGACUGGUCGAGUAACAAAGAGGCCAUUGGAGAAAGAUGAGAAGAUGACAUUUCUCACCAUCAGUGAUGAAACUAGGGGAAUGGUGGCAGGGAGGAGGACUGACUGAGGACGAUGACCCUGCUUGCUGAGCAUACCGUGAUUUUUUCUCCUAGAAGUUGAGGACCAUCAAGCCUUACUGAGACUGGCUUGAUUAGGAACACGCUUGGACAUUUUCUGCACUUACAUGUACAUCCUGUACCUCCAUAAAUGUAACAAAAGGCCAGCCUGUUGGCCCCUGACGUGAGAAGAUAAAUCCAAGAGAAUAUGAAUGUUGUUAUAUUUUUGUGUAGUGCUGCUGUUUUUCAGUGUUGAUGAAAAAUAAUGUCAAUGUCAAAAACUUGUGAAAAAUGGUUAAGUAUGAGUUGUGUUUGCACAGUCACUUAGGUACAUUCCCUGAAACAAUUUUUUAAAAUAAAAGAUGAUUUAUUAACUCCAAAUUUACUCGAAUCCCCGCUGAAAAGGACUGUUGAUGACAAAGUUGGAUCUUUUUGGUAUGUCCUGAAAAUUGGUUAAAGCAAAGAUAAAUGGCUCUCAGUGGUAUUCUGGAAACAGCUCAAAUUGGGAAUUAAAACUCCCAUGACCAAAAAGAAAAGAGAAAAAGCAGGUUUUAUGCCAUUGUUGAUUAGAUUUGACAUAAAAUAAACUUCAACAUUGGGGUCAAAGUGAGGGUGUGUAUUGACAUACACCAGCAUCAAGGUUGGCCAUGUUUAUUACAAAAUCAUCUUAGUUUUGUGGCAGUUGUAGUUUAUCUCAGCGAUUAUUUCACUCCAAAAAAGAAAUGGCUCCUACAUUUAUAGUACAUUUUAAAGUUUCAAAAAAUGAAGAAAACUAAAGAGUUUUGUUUUCCAUUUUUCAAGAAAGUGAAAGCACAAAAGCAUUGUCACAGAGCUUUUGUUGAACCGGUAUCUAAUAUUUUUCUUGCCGAAAUUGUGAUGAAAUAAAAUUCUUUGAAUAAAUGUAAUAAAUUUAAUGAAAUUUAAUACAUGUAAGACAAGAAGGAUUGAUGGUACCCUCAAAACGUCGGGAUUUUCCUGUGGUGAAUGUGCAGGUUAAAGGACCUAUGGCCCUUUUCAGUAUUGACUGAAUAGAGAAGAUUUAUGAGCCAAAUUUCCUGUAAACAAAAAUAUUAGUGAAAAUUUUGUAGGCUGUGGACUAGAGCAAAGGUCCCUUCCACAUAGAAACACAACUACCCAACUGUUUUACUAAGUUAUUAAACUCCUAAUUGAUAAUUCUUAAUUGUCUGUAACAAAUUCUGCCUGAAACUGCAUAGACGUAAGGACAUCCAUAUUUCACUGUGUUUAUCAUUCUGUGUUUUUUGCAUGGACUCACCUCUUUGUUUUGUUUUGUUUUAACUUUAUGAAAGUUGGUAUUUGUGCACUUUGGUGUUUUCUGUUCAGAUAAUUCUGCCUCACCCACCCUAUUGCUUUCAUACUAACCAAACAGAUAAGCACAGUGUAUGCUGGAUGUUGCAAAUAAAGGUGCAGACCUGAUUUACAAAACUGUUGAAAAUAAAACUGGCCAGCACAAUAAUUUUAAGAGGUUGGGAUCUUCCUGUAGCCUACCUUCUCAAGCACUGUUUUACUAAUGCUUUCCCUCCCGGAGAAACGGACAAGUCUCACAAAACUAAAGUGGUUACACCUUCAUAUCCACCAUUUCUACUGUAGUUUUGAAAAAAUGGUUUCAAACAAAUCAAAAUUUUGAAAAAGUUCUCAAAGCAAUGAUAAUAAUGCAUGUUAUCAACAGCAAGCACCAUCAGUCCUUUGUAACCUGCUUUAAUUAUAAAAGCAGCUUAUUCCUUGAAUCAGUUAUGCUCAAGGAUCUACUCUUUUUACGUCACAGUUGUUUUGCCUACGAGUGGCUGCUAAAAUUAUGGCUGGCCAUCAAUGCGAAAGUAAAAGAAUAAUUCCAAUCCCAAAUAGCUAUCAGAACACCAGAUAGUAAUACACAUAUUACUUAAUAAUAAAUGAAAAUGAAACCCUCUUUAAAAUUAAUGGGACAAAUGUAUCUUUUGAACGAAAUUGAUUGAAAACUAAAGGGUGUUUUUCUUUCUGUAAACUUUGGCCGCCCAUACAUAUUGUAGAAUGAGAGUGGUCUAUCAACUCACUACAAAAUGUUUGGAAAUUAGCUACCAGUUUGAUAGCAGGAUUUGCCUUUGACAACUUUGAUAUAAAAGUCUGCAAAACCCUUUAAAAGAUCUUUUCCCUUAGUUUUGCGUUUUAUGGCAAAAAUUGUAAACUAUGUAAAAAAAGUAUGAGAAUGAUGUAGGUCAAAAGAAAUCAUAAUUUCAUAAUAAUUUCAUAAGUAUAUAUAUUGUACAAUGGACUAUAUUCCUAAAAAAGGCAUUUUUUUAUCUUGAACCUCAAAUCUUGUUUUAAUAAAAUAUUAACUAAUUAAGGUACUGGUAAUCGACUAUUUUGUGGAUUCCUGUUGGCCUCAUUUCCCUUGAAUUUAUUUUCAAAACCUGGCAUAAAAGUCUAACAAAGGUAUGUUUCAUCACAUAUGUGAAUUUAUGUAUGUGAAAAUGUUAAUUUUUAAUUUAUAAUUUUACUGAUUCCCUUCAAAAAUUAAUACAAACCUAGCUUUUAAUUUAAAUAUGGGUGACUCCAGAAUAUUGUCCAUUGCAAAUGUUGAGUUAUUAGUUUCUUCAUUCUCAACCUAAUUUCAGUUUUGCAAUUCAUUAUGUUUACUGUAUAACUAAUUAAUAGAUUAUAAAAAUUUUUAUACGGUGCCACUGUCUCUUUUGUAACAAAAAAUGAUCAGUUAUCUAAUGAGCACAGAAGCAAUAAAGUCAAUCACACACGUGAAAUCCGAGCCCUUACCUCACUAUAGUUGAGCUGCAACCCGACUACAAAGCCAAUUUCCAAGCGAUGGGAGAAUAAAGACCAUUAUUUACAUUUCUGAAU